Molecule: ribosomal RNA, 234 nt
Filed under: uncultured bacterium
Lineage: Bacteria
Description: partial 16S ribosomal RNA
Rfam family: Bacterial small subunit ribosomal RNA
Source: RNAcentral
GAUCCUGGCUCAGGAUGAACGCUAGCUACAGGCUUAACACAUGCAAGUCGCGGGGUAGCAUGGGGAUUGCUUGCAAUCUCUGAUGGCGACCGGCGCACGGGUGAGUAACACGUAUCCAACCUGCCUAUUACCACGGUAUAACCCGAUGAAAGUCGGCCUAAUCCCGUAUGUAGUCUUCCAAUGGCAUCAGCAGUAGACGAAAGGUUUAGCGGUAAUGGAUGGGGAUGCGUCCGA